RNAcentral lists this ribosomal RNA (753 nucleotides) under Triticum aestivum (bread wheat). RNAcentral's name for it is "partial small subunit ribosomal RNA". The record is from RNAcentral. Lineage: Eukaryota; Viridiplantae; Streptophyta; Magnoliopsida; Poales; Poaceae.
AUGGACCCGAUUACGGAAACCUGGGAUGUUGAGCUCGUGAAAGAACUGUUCUGUGAAGAAGAUGCAAAAGAGAUGCCUGCUAUCGCUGUUGAUAGUGGCAUGGACGAUCUGGUAGCGUGGCAUUUUGACACCAAAGGCUUAUUCUCUGUGAAAUCUGCAUAUCACUUGGGAACGAGGUUGCGAGAUGCAAGCAAGGACACGGAUGCAAGCUCUUCUACCGUAGUGCCGCAGGCCUCACAAAGAUGGAAAAGAUUUUGGAGUCUGAGCUUGCCUCCUAACAUUCGUAUGUUCCUAUGGCGUCUGUCACACAAGUCGUUGCUUUUGCGAAUGAAUAUCAAGAGGAAACAUGUUGACCUGGAUACUAGAUGUCCGAUGUGCUUGCGCCUGGAUGAGGAUGGGGGACAUCUGUUCUUGAAGUGUAAGUUGGUAAAGCAAGUCUGGAGGGAAUUGCAGCUUGAGGAUGUCAGGCUCGUAUUGCUGGAAUGUGUAAAUCCUGAUGCUAUUUUUGAUCACUCGGGGUCGCUGAAACCUGAAAAGCGUGACCUGAUGCUUGUAUUUCUCUGGGAGUGGUGGAAGGUUCGGAAUAAGGCUAAUCAGGGAGAAAAGAUUAAGCCGGCUGCUGGAGUGGCGUAUUAUGUUAGGAAACUGUUGACGGAUUUCUAUGUUGAGGAAGGAAGUAUUCAGGCACAUACAUUGCCAGCUAUAGUUCAAGUUUGCAGAAAACCGAAGGGAAGUCAGGGUUUGUUAAAAUAA